AGUGCAUGUGGCGGAUGCCUUGGCGAUCACAGGCGAAGAAAGACGCGGCAGCCUGCGAAAAGCUGCGGGGAGCUGGCAAACGAGCUUUGAUCCGCAGAUAUCUGAAUGGGGAAACCCACACCGCAAGGUGUAUCCGUAACUGAAUACAUAGGUUACGGAGGCGAACGAGGAGAACUGAAACAUCUAAGUAUCCUCAGGAAAAGAAAUCAACCGAGAUUCCGGCAGUAGCGGCGAGCGAACCCGGAGGAGCCCAGCUUUUGAUAGUACGAACUUUAGCCGAAAGGACCUGGAAAGGCCUGCUAUAGUGGGUGAUAGCCCCGUAGGCGAAAGAGUUGGUACGGUACUAAGGAAGCGAGAAGUAGAGCGGGACACGUGGAAUCCUGUUCGAAGACGGGGGGACCAUCCUCCAAGGCUAAAUACUCGUGAUCGACCGAUAGUGAACCAGUACCGUGAGGGAAAGGCGAAAAGAACCCCGGGAGGGGAGUGAAAUAGAACCUGAAACCGCAUGCAUACAAACAGUAGGAGCCUUUACGGAGGUGACUGCGUACCUUUUGCAUAAUGGGUCAGCGACUUACAUUCUGUGGCGAGCUUAACCGAAUAGGGGAGGCGCAGCGAAAGCGAGUUCGAAAUGAGCGUUCAGUCGCAGGGUGUAGACCCGAAACCAGAUGAGCUAUCCAUGGCCAGGUUGAAGGUGUGGUAACACACACUGGAGGACCGAACCGACUAGUGUUGCAAAAUUAGCGGAUGAGCUGUGGAUAGGGGUGAAAGGCCAAACAAAUCUGGAGAUAGCUGGUUCUCCCCGAAAACUAUUGAGGUAGUGCCUCGUGUGUCGCUCCAGGGGGUAGAGCACUGUUUUGGCUAGGGGGACAUGGAGUCUUACCAAACCAAGGCAAACUCCGAAUACCUGGAAGCGUAAGCACGGGAGACAGAGCACCGGGUGCUAACGUCCGGACUCAAAAGGGAAACAACCCAGACCGCCGGCUAAGGUCCCAAAUAACAGCUAAGUGGAAAACGAAGUGGAAAGGCCGUGACAACCAGGAAGUUGGCUUAGAAGCAGCCAUCCUUCAAAGAAAGCGUAAUAGCUCACUGGUCGAGUCCUUCUGCGCGGAAGAUGUAACGGGGCUAAGCUGUUAACCGAAGCCGCGGAUGCACUGGUUAUCCAGUGCGUGGUAGGGGAGCGUUCUGUAAGUCUGCGAAGGCGGUUCGAGAGGACUGCUGGAGAUAUCAGAAGUGCGAAUGCUGACAUGAGUAACGUUAAAGCAGGUGAAAAGCCUGCUCGCCGUAAGCCCAAGGAUUCCUGCUCUACGUUCAUCGGAGCAGGGUGAGUCGGCUCCUAAGGUCAGGCCGAAAGGCGUAGCCGAUGGGAAUCAGGUUAAUAUUCCUGAACCUGCGUCAGAUGCGAUGGGGGGACGGAGCAUGGAAGAUCAUCCGGGUGUUGGAAGUCCCGGUUGUUUAGCGUAGGAGGUCUGCAGGCAAAUCCGCAGACGCAUCUCCAAGGCAAAGACACGUGCCGCCACGGCGGCGAAGUGAUCGGAAGUGCUUCCAAGAAAAGCCUCUAAGCACCAGUCUGAUGCGGACCGUACCGUAAACCGACACUGGUGGGCGAGCUGAAUAUGCUCAGGCGCUUGAGAGAACUCGGGAGAAGGAACUCGGCAAAUUGACACCGUAACUUCGGAAGAAGGUGUGCCGUAGUACCGUGAGAGGAGAGACACCUUGAGCGGGAAACGGUCUCAGAGAAUAGGUGGCUGCGACUGUUUAUUAAAAACACAGCACUCUGCAAAGUCGAAAGACGACGUAUAGGGUGUGAUGCCUGCCCGGUGCUGGAAGAUUAAUUGAUGGGGUGAGAGCCCUUGAUCGAAGUCCCAGUAAACGGCGGCCGUAACUAUAACGGUCCUAAGGUAGCGAAAUUCCUUGUCGGGUAAGUUCCGACCUGCACGAAUGGCAUAACGAUGGCCACACUGUCUCCUCCCGAGACUCAGUGAAGUUGAAAUGUUUGUGAUGAUGCAAUCUACCCGCGGCUAGACGGAAAGACCCCAUGAACCUUUACUGCAGCUUUGCAUUGAACUGUGAACCGAUUUGUGUAGGAUAGGUGGGAGGCAGAGAAGAGGCCACGCCAGUGGUCUUGGAGCCGACCUUGAAAUACCACCCUGAUUUGUUUGCGGUUCUAACCACGGACAGUGAUCCUGUCUUGGGACCGUGCAUGGUAGGCAGUUUGACUGGGGCGGUCUCCUCCUAAAGGGUAACGGAGGAGUACGAAGGUACGCUAGGUACGGUCGGAAAUCGUGCUGAUAGUGCAAUGGCAAAAGCGUGCUUGACUGCGAGAGCAACAACUCGAGCAGAUGCGAAAGCAGGUCAUAGUGAUCCGGUGGCUCUGAAUGGAAGGGCCAUCGCUCAACGGAUAAAAGGUACUCUGGGGAUAACAGGCUGAUACCGCCCAAGAGUUCAUAUCGACGGCGGUGUUU
RNAcentral lists this ribosomal RNA (2462 nucleotides) under human gut metagenome. Its description in RNAcentral is "bacterial LSU rRNA". It matches the Rfam family "Bacterial large subunit ribosomal RNA", at positions 14 to 2519 of the family's 2925-position model. The record is from RNAcentral.